RNAcentral lists this long non-coding RNA (2549 nucleotides) under Homo sapiens (human). RNAcentral's name for it is "HSALNT0264754". Lineage: Eukaryota; Metazoa; Chordata; Mammalia; Primates; Hominidae. The record is from RNAcentral.
GCCGGGCGGUGCAGAGGGGCGGGGCCGCGGGGCCUGGAAGCAGCCUCCGGGAUCUGCAAGUCUGGAAAGGCCACGUUGUGGACCUUGGCGCAGAGGUUAUGGGGGCGACCCGGAGCGGAUGGUUUCAGGAAAACUAGAACCCACCCUCAUGGCCUGAACAACUGGAGAGAAGAGGAUCGCAGCAAUUUAAAGCCAGCGGCAAGGAUCACAGUCCUGGGCUCCCCUCAAUGGGAAGUAGAAUCUCUUUCUCCACCUCUUCAAUAUGGCUGGCCCUGGAACUUCCCUUGGCACACAGAAUGCAGCAGAAUUGGCUUCAUGUUGUUUCUAAGCCUUGGCCUCAGAGGCCUUGCAUGCUUCCUAACCCUGGCUCUAGGAAACUUGCUGCUGUCAUGUAAGCAAGCCCAGGCUAACCUACUGAAUGUUGGUGUGUCCCAGUCAAAUCCAGCACUGCAACCAAUAGCCAGGCAGCCACCAGACAUGUGAGUGGGGCCACCUCACACCAGCCAACCUCCACCAAGUCAUCAGAUGUAUGAGUGAGAACAGCCCAGAACAACUGAGCCCGUCCAGACCAGCGGAACAACCAAGCUGACCAGUAGACUUAGGAGCAGUAAACAGAUGAUUGUUAUGGAAGCCAUUCUGUUUAGGGUGUGUGUGUUAUUGCUUGCAUCCAAAUACAUCCUAUCUCAUCUAAUGAGAAAAGGCCCUGCUCAAGGGCUUUUGCAGCUGUAGUUGGGCGCCGGAAGUGUCUUUGUGGUCAUUUCUUACUCCAUACACGGGGAGAUCAAGGCUCAGACCAGGUAGUGUGACUGUGGACAACACUUUCCUUACCCCUCUGUGACACUUAAAUCAAUGAAGCAGAUUCACAGAAGCAUGCAUGCUCACUGAACACAGUAUUUGCAUUCCUACCUCCAAACCUUUGCUCCACCCAUGCAUCCAGUAAGAAUGCCUACUUCCCUCCUCUCCUCCAUCGAGUUCUUUCUUUGAGUUCUACCUUCCCUAGUCUUCCUCCACUGCACCAACCCACGGUGAUCCCUGUCUCUUCCAAAUGCUUUGUAACAUGGUAGGCAUCACUCACUUGUGACUCAUUGGACCAUUUUAAAACUUGGUUUUCUGUGUCUCUUUUCCAACAAAAUUACAAAUUCUUUGAGGGUAAAAGUCAGGCCUAAUAGUUCUCUGUACUCCUAGUAGUGCCAGUGUGGUAAAAAUUUAACUUGACAAUUAGCAAAACCAAUAAAUUCCUUACACUAUUCUGUUCCUGUAGGUAAUCAGUAUAUGAAUAUGGAUUCCUAUGUGAUGAUUUUCUGGUCUAUUUUGUCCCUUUUUUUUUUUUGUUACUUUAACCAGGCCAUAACAUAAAGGUUAUGCCAUUUGUUACUGUCAAGCUUAAUUAAGCCCAUUAUAAUUCGUUAACCCCUGUGCUUGCUUUGUAAUUAACAUUGAUUAACACAAACAAGUACAAAAUAGGCCAUCAGCACUUUCCAGAAGUGCUGAUUACAAUUACAUUGGUAAUUCAAUACGGUAUAGAAGAUGGCAGGAUAGUAACUUGCACUCUGUUUACAUAAGGAGACAAAUGCUACCAUGCAAAACUAAGCCAAGAAACAAAAUACUUUCCUCAUCCAACUCACUGAUUAAACCCUUACCCUGUUAACUCACCCUAUGACUGUGUAAACCUCCAGUAAGAUUAUUGAAGGCACAGCUCCAAGUAACUUGCUUAAUUGCAUUCCUGGGACAAAAGAGGGAAGCGCUUCAAAGCUGACAGACAGAUGGUAGAGUGUCCAGUCACAGCAAAGCAGGCCCCGAGGCUCAUGACAGACAACUCCAGGGCUGAGAUCUCAUUUGUAGCUCUGGGAUAAAGUCCAGGGUUUGAUGGCAGCAGGCUGAAGUGUAAAGAUGCUCAACAAUGCGCACCCCAGAGACACUGAAUCUGAAAAAGCUUAGAGUGAAUAAAAAUCUGGAAAUGAACUCUGUCUGUCUAUUCACCAUUCCCCCCAUAAAAAAAUUCCUAUAUUCCGGAUGGUGUUCAAGUUCCCUUUCCACAGGACCUCAGCAGUCAGGGAGGUGCUCCUGCAAUCUAUGUGAAGGAGAUUUCACCAUGCCCACAUGGGAAUACAGUAGAUUGCCAGUAGGGAUGCCACACCUUUGCAUUUCCUCGUAUUUCCAGGAACAAAGCUGGGGUGCCUAGGAGCUGCAGCAGUUUUUCUUCUGUGUAAAAUAAGCAAGCAGGACUCUGCCCCACUGCACUCCAGGGAAGGAUUAAGAGAAUUGAUAUCAUCCAAAUCAAUUGGCCCUGUGCAGAUGACUUGAUAAUGAGGCCAUUGAGUUUUUAUGGUUCACUAUUAUUGCUACAAAAAUUAUGCUGCAGAAAUCAUUCAAAUGCUCAAAAAGGAGCAUUAGUACGAAACUGGGUGUUCCAAAGUUGUUGCUGAGAGGUGUGUAAUGUUCCUGAAGAUCCCCAAGGCACUAAGACUUCUCUGUACAUGAAUGACUCAUAGAGAAGAAAUACACCAGAUGAAAAUAUAUGGAGAAGUUUGCCGAAUGUCAUAUAACUU